AGUGAACGCUGGCGGUAGGCCUAACACAUGCAAGUCGAACGGCAGCACAGUAAGAGCUUGCUCUUACGGGUGGCGAGUGGCGGACGGGUGAGGAAUACAUCGGAAUCUACUUUUUCGUGGGGGAUAACGUAGGGAAACUUACGCUAAUACCGCAUACGACCUACGGGUGAAAGCAGGGGAUCUUCGGACCUUGCGCGAUUGGAUGAGCCGAUGUCGGAUUAGCUAGUUGGCGGGGUAAAGGCCCACCAAGGCGACGAUCCGUAGCUGGUCUGAGAGGAUGAUCAGCCACACUGGAACUGAGACACGGUCCAGACUCCUACGGGAGGCAGAAGUGGGGAAUAUUGGACAAUGGGCGCAAGCCUGAUCCAGCCAUACCGCGUGGGUGAAGAAGGCCUUCGGGUUGUAAAGCCCUUUUGUUGGGAAAGAAAAGCAGCAGGUUAAUACCCCGCUGUUCUGACGGUACCCAAAGAAUAAGCACCGGCUAACUUCGUG
RNAcentral lists this ribosomal RNA (492 nucleotides) under uncultured bacterium. RNAcentral describes it as "partial 16S ribosomal RNA". It matches the Rfam family "Bacterial small subunit ribosomal RNA", at positions 29 to 507 of the family's 1533-position model. The record is from RNAcentral.